RNAcentral lists this ribosomal RNA (362 nucleotides) under uncultured bacterium. Its description in RNAcentral is "bacterial SSU rRNA". It matches the Rfam family "Bacterial small subunit ribosomal RNA", at positions 30 to 384 of the family's 1533-position model. The record is from RNAcentral.
AUUGAACGCUGGCGGCAUGCCUUACACAUGCAAGUCGAACGGCAGCACGGGAGCAAUCCUGGUGGCGAGUGGCGAACGGGUGAGUAAUAUAUCGGAACGUGCCCAGUCGUGGGGGAUAACGUAGCGAAAGCUACGCUAAUACCGCAUACGAUCUAUGGAUGAAAGCGGGGGAUCGCAAGACCUCGCGCGAUUGGAGCGGCCGAUAUCAGAUUAGGUAGUUGGUGAGGUAAAGGCUCACCAAGCCGACGAUCUGUAGCUGGUCUGAGAGGACGACCAGCCACACUGGGACUGAGACACGGCUCAGACUCCUACGGGAGGGCAGCAGUGGGGGAAUUUUUGGACGAAAUGGGCGGCGAAGACCU